Molecule: long non-coding RNA, 1056 nt
Filed under: Rattus norvegicus (Norway rat)
Lineage: Eukaryota; Metazoa; Chordata; Mammalia; Rodentia; Muridae
Description: long non-coding RNA NONRATT030832
Source: RNAcentral
AGUAAUCUGUUGACCCCACAGUAAUUAUCAGGAACAGUCUUUGGAAACCCUCUCCCCAACCUUACCUCCAUUUUCCUCCCCUGGAUACCAUCGUCUUCUUUUUCCUCAUGAUAGUGUUUUCUGAUGAGCCAUCAUUGCCACUGCAUUUGAUUUAGUAUAUGAUAUGGUCUGUUAUCCAGCUAUUUUUCACAGUCCGUAGUGAAUCCUAUUACGUCUCUUUAGUGUUUGGUGAACCUCUGUGAACUUAUCACAGAGUCUGUUGACCUCUAUUAGCUAUCAGACAGUACCUUUGAUUCUACCAUCAGCCUUACAGCUCAGUGCUUUGGAAUGGCCAUAGUGCCUUUUAAGGUCAUUGAUACAGUCUUCAUUUCCUCCAUCUAAGACAAGGUCUGAUGAUCCUCCAUUUUCCUGUCCCCCAUCUGUGACUCCUUUCCUUAUAGUGUCUGAUCACCCAUUCUCUCAAGCUAAGACAGCCUGUUCAUUGCCAUUGUGUACCUGAGACCUGCAGUCCUCAAUGCAGUACAUACUGACUUCCCCAUUAGUCUCUAGAAGAGUCUUGUGCUCUGCACCGUCUAGAACAGUGUGCACUGUCUGCUCACUGCAGUGCGUCUCAGACCUUGGUGCUCGACUGUGAGAUAAGCAAUAGGAGAUUCUCAGCAGAAAAGGGUUAGUGUCAUUGCACUAUUUCAUAAAAACUGGGAUUCAGGGAGCCUUGGGAGCUUAGAGAUGGAAUUUUAUAUGUCCUCUACCACUCUGCUUUCAGGCUGUCAUUACUAGACCUCUGAAUUUUUCCUUUGCCCUCUGCUAGGAGGCCUAUGGCACCUGCCCAGUCCUACCUCAGCCCAUCUUGAAAAAAUCCUUAGACAACAUGGAACCACCACGAGGCCCUCCUGCUAGUGGGGCUGAGCCAUCUCGGGCAGUUGGCACUGUCAAAGUGUACCUGCCUAACAAGCAACGCACAGUGGUGACUGUCCGGGAUGGCAUGAGUGUCUAUGACUCUUUGGACAAGGCCCUCAAGGUGCGGGGUCUCAAUCAGGACUGCUGUGUGGUCUACAG